GAAAAUAUAGCCUUGCAAAGUUUGCAAAUUUUGUACACUUUUGUAUUGCAUGCGAAAAUUGCAAUUAUACAAAAGAAUACAAAAUUUGCAAACUUUGCAAGGCUAUAUUUUCUACAUAUU
Molecule: non-coding RNA, 120 nt
Organism: Paramuricea clavata
Lineage: Eukaryota; Metazoa; Cnidaria; Anthozoa; Malacalcyonacea; Plexauridae
Source: the annotation of a GenBank genome assembly